RNAcentral lists this ribosomal RNA (497 nucleotides) under uncultured bacterium. RNAcentral's name for it is "partial 16S ribosomal RNA". It matches the Rfam family "Bacterial small subunit ribosomal RNA", at positions 28 to 507 of the family's 1533-position model. The record is from RNAcentral.
GAUGAACGCUGGCGGCGUGCCUAAUACAUGCAAGUCGAGCGAAAAGGUGAGGAGCUUGCUCCUCUGACGUUAGCGGAGGACGGGUGAAUAACACGUGGAUAACCUACCUAUAAGACUGGGAUAACUUCGGGAAACCGGCGCUAAUACCGGAGAAUAUAUUGCACCGCAUUGGUCGAUAGUGAAAGACGGCUGUGCUGUCAGGUAUAGCUGGAUACGCGCCGCAUUAGCUAGUUGUUAAGGUAACAGCUUACCACGGCUACGAUGCGUAGGCGACCGCAGGGGGUGGUCGGCGACCCUGGAACUGAGACACGGUCCAGACGCCUACGGGAGGCAGCAGUAGGGAAUCUUCCGCAAUGGGCGAAAGCCUGACGGAGCAACGCCGCGUGAGUGAUGAAGGUCUUCGGAUCGUAAAACUCUGUUAUUAGGGAAGAACAAAUGUGUAAGUAACUAUGCACUUCUUGACGGUACCUAAUCAGAAAGCCACGGCUAACUACGUG